GCGUUGAGCUAACCGGUACUAAUGAACCGUGAGGCUUAACCUUACAACGCCG
This 52-nucleotide ribosomal RNA is filed under the name Escherichia coli. Its description in RNAcentral is "partial 23S ribosomal RNA". The record is from RNAcentral. Lineage: Bacteria; Pseudomonadati; Pseudomonadota; Gammaproteobacteria; Enterobacterales; Enterobacteriaceae.